GGAUGCUGGUGUUCAUUUAAAAUCAAUGUGGCAACUUGACUUCCUAUAUCACUUUGGAAUUUGAGUAGCUUCAGUAUGCCUAACAUUGGAGAAUCUAGUGGAUGGAGUGGUAGAUGGGUAGCAUGAUUGCCAUCUAAAAGGGUCACUUCAGCUGCUUUCUUUGAGGGAGACCAACACAAGAAAACCCAAGGUAGGGGGGACUUCCACAAACCCAAGCUCCCAAGUCCAGGAAAAGGGACCUUUUAGAGAUCAUAUGGGCCCCUUUCUAGAUCUAUGAGCACUAUUAGCGGAAGUGUGUAACACGGAAAGUCGAGUAAGUAAUCGCACAGCUGAUCAGUGAUCUCAAGGC
This 349-nucleotide long non-coding RNA is filed under the name Elaeis guineensis (African oil palm). RNAcentral's name for it is "long non-coding RNA (EGUI_LNC001004)". Lineage: Eukaryota; Viridiplantae; Streptophyta; Magnoliopsida; Arecales; Arecaceae. The record is from RNAcentral.